Molecule: ribosomal RNA, 274 nt
Filed under: uncultured bacterium
Lineage: Bacteria
Description: partial 16S ribosomal RNA
Rfam family: Bacterial small subunit ribosomal RNA
Source: RNAcentral
AUACGGAGGGUCCAAGCGUUAUCCGGAAUCAGUGGGUUGAAAGGGUCCGCAGGCGGGCAAUUAAGUCAGAGGUGAAAGCCCAUCGCUCAACGAUGGAACUGCCUUUGAUACUGGUUGACUUGAGUGAUACGGAAGUAGAUAGAAUAAGUAGUGUAGCGGUGAAAUGCAUAGAUAUUACUUAGAAUACCGAUUGCGAAGGCAGUCUACUACGUAUAUACUGACGCUGAGGGACGAAAGCGUGGGGAGCGAACAGGAUUAGAAACCCUAGUAGUCC